GUAGGUGGCAAGCGUUGUCCGGAAUUAUUGGGCGUAAAGCGCGCGCAGGCGGUUCUUUAAGUCUGAUGUGAAAGCCCACGGCUCAACCGUGGAGGGUCAUUGGAAACUGGAGAACUUGAGUACAGAAGAGGAAAGCGGAAUUCCACGUGUAGCGGUGAAAUGCGUAGAGAUGUGGAGGAACACCAGUGGCGAAGGCGGCUUUCUGGUCUGUAACUGACGCUGAGGCGCGAAAGCGUGGGGAGCAAACAGGGAUUAGAUACCCUGGUAGUCCACGCCGUAAACGAUGAGUGCUAAGUGUUAGGGGGGUUUUCCGCCUCUUAGUGCUGCAGCUAACGCAUUAAGCACUCCGCCUGGGAGUACGGCCGCAAGGCUG
RNAcentral lists this ribosomal RNA (373 nucleotides) under uncultured organism. RNAcentral's name for it is "partial 16S ribosomal RNA". It matches the Rfam family "Bacterial small subunit ribosomal RNA", at positions 527 to 896 of the family's 1533-position model. The record is from RNAcentral.